RNAcentral lists this long non-coding RNA (1065 nucleotides) under Sinocyclocheilus grahami. RNAcentral describes it as "lncRNA (ENSSGRG00000052381.1)". Lineage: Eukaryota; Metazoa; Chordata; Actinopteri; Cypriniformes; Cyprinidae. The record is from RNAcentral.
AAAAUAUCCAAAUUUCAAACACUUUUCUCUUACUUCCAGUAUCUGUCAAAAGUUUUGAGUCUAGGUGGUCUAUUAGCUUUGAGGUGAUUUAUAUGGCACUGAACUCAUGAAAUAUUUUUGGAUAUUAACCCUUUGACGCGUACAAUUACAGCCUACAUCUAGGCUGGUUCCUGGAGUGUACCAUCACACCGGUGUGAUUUGAAUGUUCAGCGUGUACCCCAUACCCACUCAAUUAAGAGAACGCCACAGACAGAGAGAAGGACAAAUGAUGGGUUGAUGGCAGAUAGUGAAGGAUAAAAUGUUCAUUGUUAAAGAAAAAACAGUUGAAAGUGUCUAAAAGAUUGAAUGUUGAACUGUUAAAUUGAACCGCCUAAAGAUUUAAUCAUUUAACAGGUUUGAGCUGGGUUUUUUUUUAACUUUAUUUUGUAUUGAUAUUUGAAUGUUUAAGAGGUUGUUGUGUGAUGCAACUUUAAAAGUGUUUUAUGUGUUAUUGUUAAAUGCCAGUUUGCAUUUGUUCAACGUGGAAAGUAAUUUGAAAAAAUUUUUAUUGUUUGCAUUUGUGAAGAGUUUUGUCAUUCUUUAUUAGUAGUUGUGCAAACAACUGUCUCUCUGUCACAAGGGUGGGGUUUCAGCAAAACAUCCGCCUCUGUUAUUCUAUUCUCUCGUUGUCCCUGCUUCUCUUCUCAUCUCCUCAAAUAUAAAGCUUUGCUUUCCUUAGCAACUCCAAUGGCAUCUUACACAGUGGUCAUUGUCCCUCUCAGGAGCAGUCCUAACAGUCUGGAUGCAUUGCAGUUCUUCCUCUGGGUGAAGAAGAUGAAGGACUUAGAGAGGGAAAAGGACUUUUUGUGGAUUGGAUUGCAGGCUUUAGAGCAGGUGCGAGAGAAGUUAUGCUCCAACCUAGAAGACAACAUGGAAGUGCAAGACCAAUUCAAGAAAGGAGAGAUGAGAAAAGUGAGGUUUUUUUUGUAUCAACAUGUUUAUACCUCCUUGUGUUUAAUAUAUUUUCUAUUCAUCAGGUGUUUCCAGACCCCCCCACCCUACUGUUGGCUCAGAUUCACAGAGUGA